This 85-nucleotide transfer RNA is filed under the name Vibrio cholerae. RNAcentral's name for it is "tRNA-Leu". It matches the Rfam family "tRNA". From Rfam's summary of the family: Transfer RNA (tRNA) molecules are approximately 80 nucleotides in length. Lineage: Bacteria; Pseudomonadati; Pseudomonadota; Gammaproteobacteria; Vibrionales; Vibrionaceae. The record is from RNAcentral.
GCGGAAGUGGCGAAAUGGGUAGACGCACCAGAUUUAGGUUCUGGCGCCGCGAGGCGUAAGAGUUCAAGUCUCUUCUUCCGCACCA